This is a non-coding RNA of Coturnix japonica (Japanese quail), 16204 nucleotides long. NCBI's taxonomy places the organism in Eukaryota, Metazoa, Chordata, Aves, Galliformes, Phasianidae. The record is from RefSeq and is a predicted model, not a curated record.
UAGGAGGCGAGAUGAGGCAUAGGUUCCUUGUCUGAUUCAUUUCCUGAGGAAAUUUUUACUCCCUGCAUCUUUUUCAGUCCUCAUUCAGUCAGAGAGUAGCAAAGUGAUUAAUACCAAAUCCAUGCCUGACACAGACUGGAAGAAAGAUGCAAAUUCUUUUAAAACCAGCGCUUAAUUAAUGGCUUAGCAAAACAACCCACUGCUAAAAAACGUGUGGGGUUAUUUUUUUGGCUUCCCCUCCCCUCCUUCCCCCCCUUUUCAGUUGACAAGCUAAUUGCAAGCGACGGCACAACAGCAAAACGCACCAAGGACAAAUCCAGCACCCUUCGAAAUCGACCCCUCGGAAGGAAGAAUUAACAACCUGGACAGAACUGCAGGCAACUUCAGCCCUCCUGCAUCUGCUGCUCGAUCACACUCACUCACAGCCAGCUCUGGUCCUUCCUCACCACACUGCAGAAAUCCUAGGAGAGAUGCGUAUCUAACACCUCAGACAAACACAGACAGUGACCAGAAAAUUAAAACUGCCAGGAAUAAAAAGAUAACACAAAGAGAGCCCUGAGGAAACUGCACCUCCCACGUCUCCCUGCCAUGACGGCCAGCAGCGGUGCAGCAGCGCACGCUGACUCCAGCUGUGCAGCAGGGCUGGGGAGCCCAGCACCACCCCAGGAACCGCGUCCGCAGUGACUCAGGCGUGACUCAGUCAUGGCGCUGCUUCGGCUUCCUCCUUACUCCGGGGGGUGGAGGUAGGAAUUUCCUGCUGGCCCCGUCCUUGUAAAUCACCACGUCCUGUUGCAGCGGUGCUGCUGGUAGGGUCAGUGAGUGGGAGAGCUGGAGCUGCCUCAUCACCUGCAUGGGAGGAGGAGGGAUGGGGCACAUUGCUUGCCUGGGUGUACGCUGAGAUGAUGCUCAGGGACAGCAUGGCAGGUCCAUGGGUCCAACAGCCCCACAUCCAACCUGCAGCAUAGCCCUGACCCCUUUGCAAUGUGCGUACAGCAGCAUAAGAACCCAAUAGCCAUCCUACAACAUCAUGAGUCACUCUGAUACAACCCCAGCUGAUUUCUCAUUAGGGUCCUUUCCAAACUGUUCUAUGAUUCUGUGAAGACAACAUCAGAGAUGAGAAGAGCAUCCAGUCCUACGUGUCUGCAUGGCAUCCCCUGCACCUGUGCAUUUGAAGAUGAAAAGGAAGACAUUUGGUGGAGGCUCUUGGACAACUCCACCAACUCAACAGCACCCUGUGAAAAUCUGCCCAGCUGUCAUAUAGAAAAGCUGAGUUUAAUAACAGUUGUGGCUAGAGGGACUUCCCUAUUUGCAAAAGAACCCAAAAACGUGAACAAGUUGUGCCACAGUAACAUGGAGAAAAUUCAAAGUAUAACUAAGAGAAAAUGGGUGACAUGUAAUUGGAGAGGGAACCAUAUUAGCCUUGUGGAGGCCACCUUCCAGAACAGACCCAACCUGUUCACUGAUGACAAUCCAUCUUCAGAGGAAGAAACUGAAGGAAUGAAAGGAAAAGAAGGAUGCUGGCAGAGAUACGGAGCAGGACUCCUGGUCACACUCCAGGGAUGGUGAGAAAAGACCACAUUUAGCUUGCAUCAGAUACGCACAGCACGUACAAGCUAAGAAUGCCACAGGAGUCCUUCCUUCCAACUGUACACACAGAAUUAGACUGACAGAGAGUGCUCACCUGAUACACAGACAUGCUGGAUGAUGCUUAAUUCUUCACUUAGAAUAAUUGUUUAGUGCCACACAAAAAAAAAAAUAAUACAAUAACAUUAAUUACACCUACCUGUGAGGGACCAAUAGAGCUACCACAACAGGAUUAUAGCCCUUCAACCACCCAGGUGCUUCAACUAUAGCAGGGAAAGAUAGAGCAGUGUUCAUCCAAUGGAGGAACAAAGACACGUGCUUGCAGGGAAAUCAUGGCCUGAGACUAGGACUAUUAAACGUAUUUUAUAUUUCUGAUACUGAAGGUGGAGUUUGGGUACAGUCAGAAGAUGACAGAAUAAACCUGAAUGAAUUUUGACACGUUCCUUAAAAACGAUGGGUUUUGAGAGAUCAAAUGGUUCCAUUCUGACCUUCCCAUCUUAUCAGGAAGAUGAUGGAUCUUGGAGCAUCUUAUGGCAUCUAUCAUAUCUGGGCAUCAAAGACACUUAAAAAAAAAAAAAAAGAAUUCACAAGGGCUCUUAUGCCUACAGAUAGUAUAACCAGAUACAGUGACAAGGAAACUGAAACUAAAUAGAUUCUGACCAAAAAUAAGAGGCUCGUUUUGAGCAGCCAAAGGCAAUUAACCCCUGGAAGUGCUCCUGAAGGACGCUGGGUGGUUUUCCAUCACUCAAUGUUUUAAAAUCAAGGAUGGAUGUUUUUUUUAUCUGGACAGAUGUAGCUCAGACAGGGAAGUCUUAUGGCCAGCCCUAUGCAGAAGGUCAGAGCAGACUCUGACGAGGAUCCUGGCUGCCUCCAUAACCUGCCCAGCCGUUCACCUACUGACUCCCCAGUGCUGUUCCUGCAGCACAUAGCCUUGUUUUCAGUCAGUCUGUUUCCCCACGGAUGACCAGACCUGACCCUGCUGAGAUAACAAAAAGCCAAAGGGUUCAGAAGUGAGGAAAACAGGAAAUCCAAACAGUGAAAAUCUCAGCAAUAACGUUUCCUAACAAAGACCUUCAGAUCUCACUCUCAGCCAGCAGCUGUCUUCAUGACGUCCAAAAAGGACGACGUUUAGUGUGAUGAAGACUAUCUUUCUGCCAUUUAUUUUUACCCUGUUUAUUUUUCUACACUAUGACAUUUUCCUCAUCAAAAUCUUGGUCACAAAUGAAGCUGCUAAUCCAGAUCUAAGAAAACAUACACUAAUGCAUGUACUAUAUACGCUGCAAACCCAUGGGCCCACAGGAUGCAGUUCAUGCCAGAUAAAACCAAACCAAUACCUGCGACCACCUCAACUCCCCUUUGGGCUACAAAAUCAUCUGGAAUGUUGCAGAGCCUUUGUAUUUGUGGAGAGCUGCAAAGAGACACACUAUUACUUAAUCUAUUGUGCUGCAAGGCCUAAGACUGCAAAGCAACUCAAAACAUUACUCCAUUAUCCCAUGGAAAAGCAAAAGCAAAAACUGAAGAGAGAGGAAAGUUGAACCUGAAGGAAAGUACCAUGAUUAUCUGCCUUACUGCUUUUGUAUUUUAAGUCUUCUCCAAAGAAGACGACAUUGCACUACAUGCAUCCAAACUGCAAGUAUGGCUGUGACAUCCACUUCAGCUCAACAGCUGUAAAUUGCUGUUGCAUCUACACCACUGGGUCCUAAGACCUCAUCCUAGGUCUUAGCAAUGAGUGCUAAGGGAAAUGAAGGUGGAUCUUCUGUUUUAAGGUUUGGAAGUUGCCUUGCACUCAAAUUUGAAAUUUCAUCGAUGUUUUAGGUGAAAUUUGACUUUUCUCCCCGGCAGAACAGGCAGGGCACGUGUGUGCCAUUACACUGCCAUCUAGUGAUGCGAGUUCGCAAGGCAAAAGAGCUGGCAAAAGAUGGCUGACCAACAGCAAGUACCAGACAGAGCCCAACGUGUGGAGGAAGGGCCAGAAUUAAGUUCAAUUAAAUCAUACCGAGAGAAAUGCAAAAGGCACAGCCAGUGGUGGCCCUCAAACUCAUACAAGAGAGACAGACAUUAUGGUGCACAGGAUAACAAAAUGAAUGCAAGGCUUGGGGCUGCAAAGAGGUUCAUCCAUGAUCCAGCUGCUACCCGUCACAGGGCACGUUUAGAAAAGACAACUACAAGCCUCAAAAUCCAGCUGGGUUUGUUCUGCCAAGCUCAUGUUCAAGCAAUGACUCCAUAGAAGUUUUUCAAAAGAGCAACCCUCUUUCACGCUCCUUGGUCAUCUUCCUUCCAGCUUUACUAGAUUAUUUCUCAGAAUAACACCCUCUUGACCUUCACUCAGUUGUAUCAGGGUAUCUGGGCCAAAUUUCUUCUCUCUGUAAUCGAUUUUGGUGGUUUCCACCACAGACCAUUCUGACAGUCUCUAUCCACAGCCAUCACUACGGUCAAUCAGGAUCCAAAAGGGAUUUACUAAGCAGCACAUUGCACCGUUUACAGACAUCCCCCCUGCUCAAGGACUGGACAGCAAAGCUAAAGCUUAACACAUGAACCUGAUGUGAACUGACCUUUAUGAGUCAAAAUCCCAAUCCCAACGUUUUACUCAUCUUGAGGAUAUUUGUCCUCAGUGGUAUGUGUGUCAGAGGGCGUGAAAGUGAGAGUGCCUUGAGGUUAACAAUUGUUCGUGCUCAUAGUGGAUGAAUCAUAUGAUAACACCACAGCAACAUCCUGUAUAAUUGUUGGGAGCCUCUAUUUCUGGCAGCGUGUCCCUACGCUGUCUCAUGGGUAAAUGUUAUUUGUGCUUUACUGUAUAAAACCAAAAGCAAACAAAAUGAUACAACGGGACACUCUUCUGCAGGCACUUGCCAAAAUCACAAGUGCCUAAUUGAGCCUCCAGUUACCCGCUCCAAUGAUAAAUUGUGUGAUGAAGUUAAUAAGGCUGAGAUGGAAUAUCUCUUUUCUUCAUGUGAUUAGUGUGUGAGCAACUCUCCACAUGUGAGUAACAAUAUUUGUGUUUCCUUAGCCACAAUUGAACUCAGUGGGACUAUCACAUACAUAAAGAUCUGGGACGUUGCUUGUGAGGCAGUGGGUGCUGAGGGAACAAGCAUUGCAGGUCAGAAGAUUUAUGUUUUCCUUCUGCAUGACUGUAAGCAAGUCACUCCCCCCUGUUCUCUCUCCCUUUUGUCUAUUCAGAUCUACAGCGCACAGAUUCUGCUGCUCUUUGAGCAACGGGGCUGCACCAAGAGCAUACCCAGCUCACUUCACAUCGGGAAACACAGCGGAUGCUCUUGCAAUCCUCACACUUAGGGCAGAGGACAGUUCUUGUUAGCACUCAUAAGGUGAUGGCAGGGUUUUGGCCGCUGCCUUGUGACACCAGUUCCAAAGCACAACAAAACAACAUGCUGGCAAAUGCAAUUAACAUCCCAUCCUUCAUCAUAGAAGCUUCAGGUGGAAUGCCCUGGGAAAAGCUGGGCGAAUGGCACAGCCAAUUUCUUUGCAUGGAAGGGAACCAGGGAAAACCUUUCAAUGAUAUAAAACUGUAACAUUUAAGGCAGAGGAAAAAAUCUUCCUCCAGAGGAUUUCAAAGUAUGGGUCUGUUUCUCAAAACAGCUACAUUGAAAUCCUUGAAAUCAUUGAAAUCCCUGCCUUCUGUUUAGCUCUGAUAAUAAUGUACUUUUCAAACGCCACCCAAGUUCACCCAAAGAUCAUCACUAUUAUUUUCCCACUUCCAUUGGAAAUGCUUGCAGUGCUACCUAUAGAAACGGAUGGGAUACUCACAUUAAUAUGAUUUUUAGAACCAUUUUGGGGGUCAGCCACACACCUUCCAUAAAAACAAAAGCAGGCUUGCUCACUUUAAAUUCUCAUGAGGUUAAUUUUAAGGAAGUCUUUAAUGUCAUGUUAAAGAAGAAGCAGGACAAUGUUAGAGCGCAGGGCUUGAAAGCUUCCCAUUGCAGUGGGAGCAGAUGAGCAUUUCCACACGUGCAGCCCCGAAAGGAGCUGCUCUGCCUUCAGAAAAGACUGAAUUACUCAGUUCUGAGACAAAAAUAAACCCUCCAGAAUCAAACAAACGAGCAGAUCGGCAGCAGAAAACGGAGCCGCUCCACCAGGCCCUGUUUGCUGUUUUGGCUUCCAACCUCGGGGUCGUUGGCUCACGUCUCACUGCAUCCACAAUCCCCACUGAUCCCACACCAGCCCCCAGUCUGGGCCUAACCCCAUCCGAGGCUCUGCCCUCCCCAUGCUCCAACAAACCACUCUCUCCCUGCUCCAAAAUAAGGAAGAAAAAAAUAAAUAAAAAAAAUCCCGUCAAAUUAAAAAAUAUAUAUCUUCAUGGCUGCCUCCUCAUUUCCUGGCUGCAGACGGGACCGGAAAUAGCUCAAUUUCCUGUGAAAGCUGCUCCCAGGGGAACUCAAGGCUGCCUGCAGCCGGCAGUGAGGGCCGGGAGGCUCCGCUCAAGUUCGAGCUGGAAAAGCAGUGCUGCUCUUUAGCAAUGGGCACCCAGGAUCACAACGUGAUGGGGGAAGGAGAGGUGUGAGCAACAGAAUAGGAUAGGAAUAAAGAACACGUGUUUGUGGCCAGGGGAAGUGUUACCACCACCAUUCAGCAAUGAAUUCUAUGAUUCUAUAACUUCACAACCCCCUACAGCCCCCCAAAUUUUAAAGGAGAACAUCCUUAAGCUGUACUCUGCAUGCUGGGGAUGUUUGCUCAUGAUUAUCCCGAAUGGUGAUUCUUUUCCCGCAAUGAAAUGCAAUUUAUUAAGACGACGUGAAGGUUGGAUUCAGCAGAGUGCAGAGAGAUUUAAUAGUCCAGAGGGACGGGAGGGAAAAGAUGGAUGAACAUGGACUACUUCUGAGAAACCCUGCAAAUAGGUGGAGCAAUUCACAAUCCAAUAAGCCCUAUGGGGAAAGCCUUAUCUUUCCUUCCUGCUCUGGAAAUCCAUUCUUCUGUGCCUUUUCAUGGCUAGACAAGUCUCUAGUUAUCCAAAGAGAUGAAAAGUCCAAAGGAGCCCAUAUCCCUUUUAAGCAGUCACAUUAGAUUGUCCUUGCAAUAGAGAAGCUGAAUUGUAUGACAGAUUUUUUACCAUGUUGUCUUUGCCUAUAGGAAAAGAGCAUUAGUGGCUACGGAGAGGCAGCUUGGGUCACAUUCAUCUCUCAAGUGUGACCAUCUAAAAGUUGGAUUUUGGUUCUCAUUUAAUUGUUUGGGUGCUUUCUGUCACAAAUGAAGAGAUAUAACCAACCCUAAAGAAGAGGGAAACAACCAACGCUAUCCGCUGCAUCUCAAUGGUAGCGGCUUGGUCUCGACACCUGCAUUUUAGAUGACUAAACUUAUUCAAGAGAAACCUCAUUCAUACAAUUUAAGGAAAAAUAAUAAAACACCAUAACACACAGGCCUACCUCCCACUGAAAUUAAAUAAUAACCUCAAAAAGUGGCCAACAGCAACCUCAGGUCACACAGCCAACGUGUAGCUGUGAACCAUGGAGUCCUUGGAGCUGGCGCAUGAGGAAGCAGCCUUGGACCUGACCUCUACAACACCCUACAGAGAGGAUGUUGGUGGACAAACCUAUGCUUAGUUUAAUCACUGAAAAUAUCACCUCAACCUGACCAAUCAAUAACCCAAUCAAUCUACUGAGCCUUCACAGUUCUUACCUACCGAACAUCUUUGCUUUGGUAAUUAUCAAUCACCCUUAUGCAGGAAGGUACCUUCAGUUUUUAGAACUGCUUAAUCCUUUGAGAGACAGAUGAAUUUUAAUGAUUUAGGUUAUUAACCUAAAGGUUGAUCCAGACUGGGAGGAACAGAAUAAUUUGUUUAAUCAUUAUUAUUAUUUAUAAUUAUUUAACAUAGGGGAGAAAAAUAUCACCUUAAAUGUCAUGGUGAAGCUUUUUAAUUGCCUCAGAUGAAAUUCAGAAUAAUCACUGCUCUGUAAAUGUAUACAGAUCUAAUUUUACAUACCUUAAGAUGCUGGAUAUUUAUCUGAAAGAUGCAAGGAAUGUAUAUUCAUUACUGUAUAGGCAGUGACAGAAAAUACUGGUCUGCCAUUUAUUGAGAAUGAAUUAGUCCUCCCAAUUCAUAACUCUGCUAUAAUUUGACUUGAGGCAGAAGGAAAAAGCUGAGCAAGGUGCUUUUUUUCUUCUUUCUUCAUUCCAGGACUUUAACGUGUCCUCUAUGAAGAAGUAUGCUCUGUGGAUGCUUAAGAACAUUAAUUUGUGGGGCUGAUUUAUAGUACAUAUUUUGGGGAGAAGUGUAGAUUUACUUGCAUUUCAAACGGUCACAAUGAGGGAUGCCCAGGAGACGGGGAAUUUCAGUAGGUGACAAAUAAUGGUACCUGGGCCCAUCAUAUGGGGACUAUGAGUACACAGGAAAUACAUGAGACUCGACAGCUUCAAAGGGAUUUUUUGUGGGGCUUUUUGUAGCUCACGUAGUGAAGGAGGUGAGCAUACACACAAAAACUGCUUCUUGAGAUGGAUAUCUCUGCAGGGCCAGCAUCCCAAGGGAAUGAAAAGCAUAAAAUUGGGAUAUGGGUAAGGCAGGAUGGGACUCCCCAGGCAGGUUCUGCUCCUAUGCUUGUAUUCACACCAUCGCAACCCAGCAAUGAGGCACCCAGUGUGAUUUACUCUCAAAUCCAAGUGAAACGGACACUGUUUUCAUUUCCACGUGGAAAAUACAGCGUUGCUGGAAAACAAACAUGACUUAAGCAAGUGUCUGCCCAUGUUCUCAGAUAAUAGCAAGCUUAGAGCAUAAGGACAUGCGAGCAUCAUGCCAGUAACUCUGACUCCAACACUGAGCUGAUGCCUUGAGAGAGAAUACAGUUUACUUUACAUCUGGGCUGGACACAGAACCAUGGCUGUGUGGAUGCACUCAGCCACAGCACCUCUGCAGCUGAAGGAACAGCUUUCCUUCUGACAGGAACCUUCAAUAAUAAACAGCAGCUCAAUGAAGAAACAAAGCCAGAAAGAAAGAGCCAUCGGGCUCCCCUGUAAAUCAGCAAAGGAACCAAGAGCCCAGUGUAGGGUGGGAGGGCGAUGGGCCUCAUCACAGCCAAGCUUCUGGUGUUGCAACAGCUCCUGUAGGCACCCCACAUUUCUCUGUGCCUUAUUCAUGCUUUAUUUUGCAAAGCCCUUUGUUUUCUGAGCGGAGCCAGAUCAAGGCCUCCCCGUUUCCCACCACAUACAUGUCUCUGUGCCCCCGCUGCUGCUAUCAGAGCUGGGGCACAGGCACUCCAAGUGCCUCGUCUUGGGGAAGCAUUUGCAUUUUCAUUGGCACAGGUACAGCAUUCAGAAUUCUUUCAGGCCAGGCCAAUUAAAACAAGCUGAAAACUGCUGAGUGCAGCAGUUUUAGCAAGGAUCUGCUUACAUUCCCCCUCUGAAAAAAGCAGGGGGCCCACUUUCUGUAACUCUCUCCCUCUCUGCACAGUGUGGGUUUUGCUUUUUUUCCCCUUUUCUUCUUCCCUUUUUCUUUUUAAGGUGGAAUGACUUGUGCCCUUUACACGGGAGCUCUAAGAGAUGGGUGGCAGAACUCGGGAAUGCGGCUUCAUUUUAAACCAAGGCCCGGCUCUCUAACACCAAACUGAAGCAUGGGAAAAGAAAAAGGAGAAGAAAACAACAAAAACCAGUAACCGUCUCCACAUUAACACACUUUACCUCCCUCACAAACCUUGCAUGGCAUCUUCUUAAAAAGGAACAGAGCCACAUAAUUAGCAAUCAGUUGAAGCCUAAGGCUUUUCUUCCACCACAGAGACUAUUCAAUGCUUACUGGCCCUACUAGCACACUCUUAUUACCCCACGUUUCUUUUUGGACAGCUUCUUUCAAACAUCAACUGUGCUGUAAAUGCAUGCUGACAGGUUAAAAGACACCGUUUUCACUCCCUCGAAGAAAAAAGCCAUCCCUACGCUACCAGCGCUGCUUUCGUCCAUAUUAAGAAUCGCCAAGUGCUCCAACAAGAUGUGGGGUUUUUGGAACUCAGGGUUGUAGGGAAGGACUGAAGCACAUGUGCUCAGUGAAUUGGGUUUCUGCACAUACACCCUUAUCCUUGGAGCUUGGCAAGGAGCAUCUAAUGGCAGUGACUGUGCUCAUGGUGCUGGCCACUGCUCCAAACACCUGCAUGCCAGGAGCCACUGUAUAAGGCAACUAUCAUGGAGAGAACACCUACAGACACCCUUGCAUCUGCUUGGGUAAAAACAGGCUAAUCCAGCAGGGCAAACCACAGCAUGGGGAUUUGCAUUUGUUUUCACCUCCCAGAAUGAGGCAGUGUCAGUCUUAGACCAGCUGAAUUCAUCUGAAAUCCAUAAUAUGAGUAAAACUGGGAUCCACUCGGAGUUGAUUUGGGUUUCAAACAACCACAGAACAUGCAGGAUUCACAUACGGUGAUCUUAUCUUGAUAAGCACUGGGUUUAUAGUGCAACCUACACAAUACAGCUCAUUCCAACGCCUGCACAUCCAGGAGUUACUACAGUAUAGCUGGAAAUGGAAUCACAAUGCAACACUGCCACAUCAUCUGCUCACCUAACCACCACAGCACUACUAACACACUAAUGGGAGAAGCCUGUAAGAAACGAAACAGGUGACAGUCGGAGUAAACAGUGUAAAAUGUGAGACAACAGAAACACCACAUUUCUUAGCUCAUCCCUGAGAGAAACAAUUACCUUCAGCUCUUUUCUCUCUGCUUUCAGAGCCCUGGCUCUAAGAACGAGCUGGCCCAAGGGACCAGGAAACUGGGACAUCGUGACUAUUCUGGAUCAAAACCCUUUUCUUUCUCAAAGGCAGCCGGGAUGCCCUCUGCAGUGACCUCCAGCAGCUCAACUUGUAACCUGCUACACAGGUGACUCUAGAGGCCAUUUAUUGAUUUAAUUAGGGCAGACAAAGAAAAGACCUAAUCAGUCCUUGAAGUACACGGAACAUGCGAUGAGCACGCUGCCAUCCCAGCUCUGUCUGCUUAGAGAAAGCGAGAUCAGUGAUCUUUAAAAGCUCGAGCAGAUCCACAACUUUCAUAAUAACAGGGACAGGAUCUGACAUUCACAUGGCGACUUACAUGCUGAAGCAUCCUGAAGUACCUGAAAAGACCAUGCAGCUCCACACCUCCCUUCCUGCCCUACUUUACAGCUCUACCUGCAUGGUGGCAUCUCUUCUCUGCAGGCCUGAAACAACCCCCAGCCCUCUGAUCCAAAACCAGCAACGUCUUUUUAUCUUAUAGAAAUCAUUCCUGUUUUCUUUAUAUCACCAGUGAACCUUAAUUAGUCCCUACCUUGACAGCCUUCCUUCAGUAUAACAAAAACAGCAAACAAUAGCAAACAAAUAUAUAUUAAAGUAUCCUCAAUUCAGAGAGACAUAAACACAGACUGAACUGAACAGGUGAUCAUCAAGGGACACCCAAAUACAACAAACUACAUACAGACAGUCACUGUAGCUGAGCUGUUUUGUGGGUCAGGAUUACCUCCACCUGGGACACUUGGUUUUCCAGUGCCAUUCUCUAAGGGUAUCACCCAUUCUCCCACAUUGGGAUUCUCCCCAGUAGUGCCCUACCAAGCAUCCUUUCUUCCUGGCCCACAGGGAAGGAAAAAAAAAAAGAAGAGAAUCAGGAAACACUCACUUGGUCAUGUCCUGAGCAAUUCCCAAGAUGCGAAUGAGCCCAGACUUCCUGCUGUCCCCUCAAAUAUGUUAUUUUCCACUCCCACCUUUUUUCCUCCUACUUAUCUCCCUCCUCCCUUGCCUUCUGAGGCUGACUGAGUCAACUAGUGCAGAUUAGAUGCCAAGCAAUGCAGGCUCUGUACAAAGAUUCAACUCCCACAGACAGGCUGGAGAGAUAAAAGCAGUCUAGUCAAACACUGUCCAGAGACAGCACAGGGAGAGCUGGGCUUCCAGUGACUCUCACUGGGUGAUGUCUCACACUGGUGACUGUCCAGAGUCUGAACUGCAAGGACCAGAGGUGUACACGCUUCUUUCUGGUGCCUAAGUUUAAACAGAAAUGAAACAGGUCACAUUUUCCAAAACCACUGUUCUUUGGAGAUUAGCUCAGCUGAUGGAAACUGCGAUUCAGAGGUGCAAUGAGACAGCUCUCCUCCUUGCACUGCCUUACUGGGACACGAAGGCAAUGCCCCAUAGGAAACCUCUCCAAAACCUGCUGUAACAGCACGUGCUGCAGGUAGGCAGGCCUGCCCAUCCACAGUUGUGCCGUUCAGCCUUCCUUUGCAGUGCUCCCCUGCCAUUUUGAGCAGCAGCAGCAUUUUCUCCUUGAGUGAUGCACAGAACAUCACGGCAUUUGUUGUGGUAAAUAGUUCAGUGGCAAAGUGCCCGUUCCAUCUGCAGACCUCCAAAUGACCCUGAAUGCAGAGGUACGGAAAAGCUUUCCAUGCUCAUCCAGCCCAUCUCUGGUUACAUGAUAAGAAACGAGGCUGACACAGCAAUAUAAAUGUUACUACUCGCUAAGAAUGACCGCGGGUCAGGCCACAGGAUCCAGGGGAUACCCAGUAACAGAAGCUGUCAUAUUUAUCGCUGGCGUCUUCAGAGCCAGCUUUAGUAGCUGGAGACAGAGCACACAAAAGGACUAUUCAGAGCAGCCCAUGGUCUGAAAUGAAACAGAUGCGCUGUGGAAGUUUGCAAACUCCCCAGCACAGAAGGUUGGCAGAUCUCUGCUCUGUACCCAGGGCCCAUCUUCUUGGCAAGAGCCCUGCACACCCCGGUGCCAGUGGCACUGCUCCUGCUGUGCAGACGAAGGGCGGUCUGGAGGACAAAGCAUUCAGCUUGGCAGUUAAAGGCAGGGAGAACUAAACCGAGGCUGAGAGCCCACUCGAGCUUUUAAGCCCUCCCACCAAUUUUGGACGGUAAGCUGGUAUUUCAGGAAUUAGUACAACCAAAGGCACCUGGUCUGGUUUUACGGACUGGAACGCUCUUGGAAAGCAAUCAGAUACGAUUUGGACAAAAACAAUGGAGGCCCAGACACAGAGGCUGCCCUGGGAGAGUAUACCAGCUGUCUGCUCAGUUUCAAACCUCUAAUCAUGUUCUUGGAGAGAAAAGCAAGGGGACCUGUUAGGGGUUGCCGAGCUCCGAGCUCAGGGCCAGGUCCAGGCGGUGGAGCCCACGAGAGGGAGUCCUCCCAGCACAGAGGCAGCCCCAGCGCCUUGGACUUGAAUUUCUGGCACCCGGACAGCAGUAAAUGAGACCGAGUUUCUGAGUAUUCACCACGGGCUGGGGAUGAGGCAAGUGGAUUAAAAACAGUGGCACAAGGAAAGAUGAAAUAGUGGAAAUGGGGAGAGCAGCAGGAUGAAGGCUGGCAGUGCACAGAUGGGCAGAGCACCUGCUGGCAUGGCACGCAUCGCUCCCAGGGAAUCCAGGCUACUGGUACUGCCUCAAAGCAAAGCAAAGCCUCAGCCAGGAAUAUCCAAAGCCCUCCUUCAACUCUUAACAAAAUCUUUACAAACUACACAGGAGCAUUCAACAGCUGGUAGACCGCAAAGCUGCUCCUUCACAGAUCGUUCCAAGAGACCCUGGUGCUCUCCCCAUUCAUUUCCUUAAGCCAUGCUUUGUCUCAAUGCAACCUGUGACAUCACAUGAAGAUAUCUCAUUCUGCCUUCCAAGCACCCCAAUGAGAUGCAGGCAAUUACCUGAGCCCUUUGUUAGGUGUCUAAUACUCUUGUGCCCUGCAGAAGAUCAGCAGUGUUUCCAAAGGUGAUUCAGCCCACCCCAUUGGCCUCUGUGCUACUUAACAUGGGUGCACUGAGCAUGAGGAGGGGGGGAAGUCAUCCAGCUUUGUGCACUCUACUCCAAUCUCCGUACAGGACCUCCUGUUGCUGCCACUAAGCUCCAAAUCCAGCGUGCCCCAUACAGAGCCCUGGCACGCUCAAUACCAUGCAGUGGCACCUUGAAUCUGUCCCCUUUCUGCCAGACCCUGGGCCCUCCCUGUGAUCACAAGGAGAGAUGGGCACUCUCAGAGCAAUAUUCAAUCUGUUGGGAGCCUGAGUUGCUUCCUGCACCUUAUUUCUCUGCAUUGACCCAAAGGUACGUUUGGUGGAACAGGACUGUGACCCAGGACACGCAAUCUUGUGCUUCAUGUUACAGCAAAUCUACAACUAAGAGCUUGCACAUGCAGUGUGAGAGAAUAAGAGCUGCUCUGGAGUACUUGCACUAUAAAAUGCUGCACGCCUGAGAGGUUUUUGGACUCCAAGUAAGCCACAAAUAUGAAGUGUGAAUGGUUUACACUGGCACCUGGUCUUCUCAGCAGCUGAAUAUGCAUAAACCAUGUUGGAGUUAACCAAAGUAGCGAUCAAAGCACCAGGAAGCUAUCGUAGAACUGAGCCCUGGUUAUGGGAACUGAAAGAAACCAAACCUUUAGAGGAGUGUGAUUCAACUCCUGACCACCAGACUAAGGCACAACUGCUCCUGAAGCCACCCAAGACACAGACUUGCACCAAUUGCAGAUCUGGUCCUGUUUGAAACGCUUUCAAAGAAACCGAAUUGCAUUCAGUUUCUUAGGAACUGCCUCAGAUCUCACAUUACCAGCAUCCAAAGAGAGAAAUCAAAGCACAGCAUACUUCAAGGUAUGAAUCAGCAAAAGAACUCCUGGAUUUCUAAGAUGGAUUUGAUAAGCUGCUGUUCCCUGCACUAUCAUUAUUAUUAAUCGAACCUUUCAGAGAUCCCGUAGCAUUCUCAGUAAACAAUGUCAGAAUUCACAUCUUUUUCCACACAAAGCACCCAUUGGGGUUAAUGCAAAAUCCAUUCGUAUGCAGGCCCAGAUUCAGCCCUCAGGAUGCUACUCACAGAACUCAGAGUCACUCCAGGGAAGAGGCUGCCUGAUCACGGUGGUGAUUCUAUGACAUCUGCAAUGCACUGCACCGCUCUUGUCUUUGAAUACAACUUCAGCCUCGCCUCAGUGAUCCCUCCUUUGUGGUGGCAUUCCUUUCUCAUCCAGCUGCCAAAAGGAGAUCUGAAAUGAACAUCAUAAACAUUGAUUUUUUUUUCCUGCUAAGCAUCCAAAACCAUAUCCGAGAUAAACAAACAAAGCAAAACACUUGGCCUGAACCAUAUCCUGGCUCCAAACAAAUCUGGAUAAGAAAUUUGUGGUUGAGAUCUGUCAUAUUAAACCCAGAGAACUAAAUCUAUCUCAGAUGUGUCCAUUUCUGUGAUUCCAGGGACCCAAAACAUUCUGUGGUUUGGUUAACAUCCUUUGCCAUCAUUCUGAAUGUGACUUAUAGGCGGGUCUGUGCCAUGGGGUCAGGGACACCCCAGUUGUGUAUGAGAGAGCUAAUCCAGACCCAGAAACACCAAGCAGCAUGGAGGAAGAUGUAGGUUUUAUAUGGGCAGUCUAGUUUCUGGAAUCAGAGCAUCUCUGCAACCCUGUGCCAGAACUACCUUUGGGAUCUGUUCCACCCCAAGGACAUGCCCUUAGGCCUGGGCACAUCUCACUUACCUUUAGGAACCUGCCUGAAGUGCCUCAGGUGAGAGACAUCCCCAAGGCACUCCUGCAAUCAACAGCCAGAGGUACCUUUGGAGAUGCCAAUCUCUCGCAUUAGCUAUAACGCCUUAGGGCAGUUCAAACCCAAUGAUCUAAGCCAGCCAGUGCCUCAGAUCCAGCUUUCCUUUGUGCUCUGUUAUCCUGGCAGUUGUUUGGCUCCUGCCCAAAAAUGGAGCACCUUGGGGAUCUCGCAUCAUGGCCCAAGCUUUCCAAAUGGCAUCAUCUGCAAAGCCUUAAGGACGUAUGUGGAUCAUCAGUUUCUCAUACAGAGCAUCUUUCCUUCCCAUCGAUUUUCCAUCACUGCUCUAACUUCCAGCAAACACAAGGGAUUUCCUGUGGCAUGUGGGACUCGAUGGCAGGACAUUGCUAAAACCAAAGACAACGAGAGGCUGCAGAGCUCCAAACGUGCCGCACCUUGUACUCGCAGCUCCCACCGAGUUCAACUUUUGCCUAAAAAGAACUAAUUAACACUGGACGGCCCCGCAGCAAUUCCUCACCCGCUCUGGAGCAGAGGAGCCCAUCACUAUGGUGAUACAACAUUAAAGGGCUGGGUUCAAAAUGCUUUGCUGGCAUGAAGAUGAACACACCAGGCCAGAACCGGGGAUGCCAGGCGAGCUGCUUGUAACUCUGGAGGAGAUGCUCCAGGCUUACCCCAGUGUCACAGAGAUUAGCCCUGGCUCACGGCCUUUGAGGACAGCUCCAUCCCGGCAGGCAGAUGGCUCGCCUUCUCAUUUGGAGGGGCUGAAUGACUUUCCAAAACCUUUGAUUCCUGACUGAUGUAUUCACUUCAGGAGACACAAAAGUACAAAAUCUCAGCAUGGAGUGACUCCCGUGCUUUCUUUUUUCCUUCCUUCCCACCCCCCCGCCCUCCUGCUCCUUGUCUUUUCUUUUCUUCUCUCCCUGGACAGUUUUUAUAAUAUUUGGAAUGCAGCCAGAAUGUCUGUCCUUAUUAACUUGGGCUGGCUGUGAAACACCUGCAGCCCAUUAUAGCGGGAGGAUGAAACAAAGUCAACUGUCAUAGGUAAAGUAAUGACCGCUUUUCUUCCUUUGUUUUAACAUACUUAAAGGGACAUUCGAGAAGGGAAGGCAAAAAUGACAUAGCUUCCCCAUCGUGCCUGCCACUGACUGGGCUCAAUGGAAGACACCGGGUCAUAUUUUUAUCUGAUAAGUGACUGCAAUAAACAGUUAUACCCUCA